GGGGAUGUAUUGGCUUCGACGGCGCGGAUCAGCGACGGAAAGCAGGUGAUAGGGUCGGCUAUCUAAAAACGCAAAAGGCUUUAAUUGCCAACAAAAACGAAAACGCCAAAGUCAUGAAGUUCGCAGCUCCGGUUGCGGCUCCGGCAAUGGCACUCGCGGCUUAGUAAUAGCUGCACGUUCGACUCUGUAUCCUAUCGGCAGAUGUUCGGGCGUAAUGUAGGUAGGCUCCCGCGCGGGGGAUUGGUCGCACCCCGAACGGAACAAAGACCUUGCGACGCACCGCCUUUGUAUAUUGCGGCGGUGCGUCGGACUCCAAGCAAUAAACUAAACCUGUAGAAGUCCGCGUAACCCCGCGUCGGAAACCGGUUCAAAUCCGGUCAUCUCCACCA
Molecule: transfer-messenger RNA, 389 nt
Filed under: Clostridiales bacterium
Lineage: Bacteria; Bacillati; Bacillota; Clostridia; Eubacteriales
Also listed under: 1 other name
Rfam family: transfer-messenger RNA
About the family: Bacterial tmRNA, also known as 10Sa RNA or SsrA, is named for its dual tRNA and mRNA-like properties. Its role is to liberate the mRNA from a stalled ribosome.
Source: RNAcentral